This 452-nucleotide ribosomal RNA is filed under the name uncultured bacterium. RNAcentral describes it as "bacterial SSU rRNA". It matches the Rfam family "Bacterial small subunit ribosomal RNA", at positions 28 to 507 of the family's 1533-position model. The record is from RNAcentral.
GACGAACGCUGGCGGUGUGCUUCACACAUGCAAGUCGAACGGGGUAGCAAUACCCAGUGGCGGACGGGUGAGUAACGCGUAGAAAUCUGCCUUGAGAUGGGGGAUAACAGUCCGAAAGGAUUGCUAAUACCGCAUAUGUAUGUGCCCGGACACGGGCGUAUAUGAAAGGAGUAAUCCGUCUUAAGAUGAGUCUGCGUCCGAUUAGCUAGUUGGUAGGGUAAAGGCCUACCAAGGCGACGAUCGGUAGCUGGUCUGAGAGGAUGAUCAGCCACAAUGGGACUGAGACACGGCCCAUACUCCUACGGGAGGCAGCAGUGGGGAAUUUUGUGCAAUGGGGGAAACCCUGACACAGCGACACCGCGUGAACGAAGAAGCCCUUUGGGGUGUAAAGUUCUGUCGGCUGGAACGAAAAAAUGACGGUACCAGCAAAGGAAGCAUCGGCUAACUACGUG